RNAcentral lists this ribosomal RNA (1327 nucleotides) under Escherichia coli. RNAcentral describes it as "partial 23S ribosomal RNA". It matches the Rfam family "Bacterial large subunit ribosomal RNA", at positions 1613 to 2916 of the family's 2925-position model. Lineage: Bacteria; Pseudomonadati; Pseudomonadota; Gammaproteobacteria; Enterobacterales; Enterobacteriaceae. The record is from RNAcentral.
AAAAGCCUCUAAGCAUCAGGUAACAUCAAAUCGUACCCCAAACCGACACAGGUGGUCAGGUAGAGAAUACCAAGGCGCUUGAGAGAACUCGGGUGAAGGAACUAGGCAAAAUGGUGCCGUAACUUCGGGAGAAGGCACGCUGAUAUGUAGGUGAAGUCCCUCGCGGAUGGAGCUGAAAUCAGUCGAAGAUACCAGCUGGCUGCAACUGUUUAUUAAAAACACAGCACUGUGCAAACACGAAAGUGGACGUAUACGGUGUGACGCCUGCCCGGUGCCGGAAGGUUAAUUGAUGGGGUCAGCGCAAGCGAAGCUCUUGAUCGAAGCCCCGGUAAACGGCGGCCGUAACUAUAACGGUCCUAAGGUAGCGAAAUUCCUUGUCGGGUAAGUUCCGACCUGCACGAAUGGCGUAAUGAUGGCCAGGCUGUCUCCACCCGAGACUCAGUGAAAUUGAACUCGCUGUGAAGAUGCAGUGUACCCGCGGCAAGACGGAAAGACCCCGUGAACCUUUACUAUAGCUUGACACUGAACAUUGAGCCUUGAUGUGUAGGAUAGGUGGGAGGCUUAGAAGUGUGGACGCCAGUCUGCAUGGAGCCGACCUUGAAAUACCACCCUUUAAUGUUUGAUGUUCUAACGUUGACCCGUAAUCCGGGUUGCGGACAGUGUCUGGUGGGUAGUUUGACUGGGGCGGUCUCCUCCUAAAGAGUAACGGAGGAGCACGAAGGUUGGCUAAUCCUGGUCGGACAUCAGGAGGUUAGUGCAAUGGCAUAAGCCAGCUUGACUGCGAGCGUGACGGCGCGAGCAGGUGCGAAAGCAGGUCAUAGUGAUCCGGUGGUUCUGAAUGGAAGGGCCAUCGCUCAACGGAUAAAAGGUACUCCGGGGAUAACAGGCUGAUACCGCCCAAGAGUUCAUAUCGACGGCGGUGUUUGGCACCUCGAUGUCGGCUCAUCACAUCCUGGGGCUGAAGUAGGUCCCAAGGGUAUGGCUGUUCGCCAUUUAAAGUGGUACGCGAGCUGGGUUUAGAACGUCGUGAGACAGUUCGGUCCCUAUCUGCCGUGGGCGCUGGAGAACUGAGGGGGGCUGCUCCUAGUACGAGAGGACCGGAGUGGACGCAUCACUGGUGUUCGGGUUGUCAUGCCAAUGGCACUGCCCGGUAGCUAAAUGCGGAAGAGAUAAGUGCUGAAAGCAUCUAAGCACGAAACUUGCCCCGAGAUGAGUUCUCCCUGACCCUUUAAGGGUCCUGAAGGAACGUUGAAGACGACGACGUUGAUAGGCCGGGUGUGUAAGCGCAGCGAUGCGUUGAGCUAACCGGUACUAAUGAACCGUGAGG